This 385-nucleotide RNase P RNA is filed under the name Prevotella sp. RNAcentral describes it as "RNase P RNA component class A". It matches the Rfam family "Bacterial RNase P class A". From Rfam's summary of the family: Ribonuclease P (RNase P) is a ubiquitous endoribonuclease, found in archaea, bacteria and eukarya as well as chloroplasts and mitochondria. Lineage: Bacteria; Pseudomonadati; Bacteroidota; Bacteroidia; Bacteroidales; Prevotellaceae. The record is from RNAcentral.
ACAGUGCUCCGGUCUGUCGCUGGCACAGUAAUGUGCGAGAGGAAAGUCCGGGCAGCAAAUGGCACUCCACUCCCGAAAAUAGGAGCUGUCGGCGACGGCAGGUAAUGGCAGAAGAAAACAACCGCCCACAUCCUGUGGCAUAAAGUAACAUGAUGAGGGUAAGGGUGAGAAGGUGGUGUAAGAGACCACCAGCUGGCGGGUGACCGUCGGGCUGUGCCGUCUGGAGGCUGCAAGUUCAUGUAAACCGUUGGUUGAGGGCAGCCAGUCCGAAUCCUUUCAGGUACGACGGAGGGUAGAACGCUUGAGCUGCGUGGCAACAUGCAGAGUAGAUAAAUGACAGACGCAGGCAACUGUACAGAACCCGGCUUAUAGGAGCACUGUUUUU